GGAGUUAGCCGGUGCUUCUUCUGUGAGUGAUGUCCUUCCUGCCGGCUAUUAACCCGCAGGCCUUCUUCCUCACUGAAAGUGCUUUACAACCCGAAGGCCUUCUUCACACACGCGGCAUGGCUGGAUCAGGGUUGCCCCCAUUGUCCAAUAUUCCCCACUGCUGCCUCCCGUAGGAGUCUGGGCCGUGUCUCAGUCCCAGUGUGGCUGAUCAUCCUCUCAGACCAGCUACGGAUCGUCGCCUUGGUGAGCCGUUACCUCACCAACCAGCUAAUCCGACAUAGGCUCAUCCGAUAGCGCGAGGCCCGAAGGUCCCCCGCUUUCCCCCGUAGGGCGUAUGCGGUAUUAGCCUGGGUUUCCCCAGGUUAUCCCCCACUACCGGGCAGAUUCCUAUGCAUUACUCACCCGUCCGCCGCUCGCCACCAGGGAGCAAGCUCCCCGUGCUGCCGCUCGACUUGCAUGUGUUAGCGUCGCCGCCACGCGUCAUCUGAGCACUAAUACAACUACUGA
RNAcentral lists this ribosomal RNA (507 nucleotides) under uncultured bacterium. Its description in RNAcentral is "partial 16S ribosomal RNA". The record is from RNAcentral.